Molecule: transfer RNA, 63 nt
Filed under: Loxodonta africana (African savanna elephant)
Lineage: Eukaryota; Metazoa; Chordata; Mammalia; Proboscidea; Elephantidae
Rfam family: tRNA
About the family: Transfer RNA (tRNA) molecules are approximately 80 nucleotides in length. Their secondary structure includes four short double-helical elements and three loops (D, anti-codon, and T loops).
Source: Rfam by way of RNAcentral
GGUAGCACAGUGGUUAAGCGCUUGGCUGCUAACCGAAAUGUUGGUGGUUCGAAUCCACCACCU